Molecule: long non-coding RNA, 360 nt
Filed under: Vigna radiata
Lineage: Eukaryota; Viridiplantae; Streptophyta; Magnoliopsida; Fabales; Fabaceae
Description: long non-coding RNA (VRAD_LNC000767)
Source: RNAcentral
GAUUCCCAGUGGUUCAAUGUCCCUUUCAUGGUUUAAAUGGUCAACACCAAAUUGGAAAAUAACUACCAUACAAUCUACUUCUUCCUAUCAAUCCGGCGAUAAUAAACAUCCCUUGGCUACCCUUAAAGGUCUAGCCUUCUACUUAUGUACAUUCUAGAAAUUACAUCACAUCUUUACACCCAUUCUUACAUUCAUUUCAUCAACCUUUAAUCAUUAAGGAAGGACAAUUAUGCAUCAUGUACCCUCUUACAUAAUUAUGGAAAUAUUUUUUUCUCCUUUUGUCAUUUUCUCACUCUCACUUUACCUUCCUUUCUUACAUCUUAUUUUCAUAAUAAUAAACUAGGCACCCUUUGCCCUGCC